RNAcentral lists this ribosomal RNA (487 nucleotides) under uncultured bacterium. RNAcentral describes it as "partial 16S ribosomal RNA". It matches the Rfam family "Bacterial small subunit ribosomal RNA", at positions 31 to 507 of the family's 1533-position model. The record is from RNAcentral.
GAACGCUGGCGGCAGGCCUAACACAUGCAAGUCGAACGGUAACAGGAAACAGCUUGCUGUUUCGCUGACGAGUGGCGGACGGGUGAGUAAUGUCUGGGAAACUGCCUGAUGGAGGGGGAUAACUACUGGAAACGGUAGCUAAUACCGCAUAACGUCGCAAGACCAAAGAGGGGGACCCUCGGGCCUCUUGCCAUCGGAUGUGCCCAGAUGGGAUUAGCUUGUUGGUGGGGUAACGGCUCACCAAGGCGACGAUCCCUAGCUGGUCUGAGAGGAUGACCAGCCACACUGGAACUGAGACACGGUCCAGACUCCUACGGGAGGCAGCAGUGGGGAAUAUUGCACAAUGGGCGCAAGCCUGAUGCAGCCAUGCCGCGUGUAUGAAGAAGGCCUUCGGGUUGUAAAGUACUUUCAGCGGGGAGGAAGGGAGUAAAGUUAAUACCUUGGCUCAUUGACGUUACCCGCAGAAGAAGCACCGGCUAACUCCGUG